Molecule: ribosomal RNA, 256 nt
Filed under: uncultured bacterium
Lineage: Bacteria
Description: partial 16S ribosomal RNA
Rfam family: Bacterial small subunit ribosomal RNA
Source: RNAcentral
UAAUACAGAGGUGGCAAGCGUUGUUCGGAUUUACUGGGCGUAAAGGGUCCGUAGGCGGUUCGGUUAGUCAAAUGUGAAAGCCCACAGCUCAACUGUGGAACUGCAUUUGAAACUGCCGAGCUAGAGUGUGAGAGGGGUGAAGGGAAUUCCCGGUGUAAGGGUGAAAUCUGCAGAGAUCGGGAGGAACACCAGUCGCGAAGGCGCUUCACUGGCUCACUACUGACGCUCAGGGACGAAAGCUAGGGUAGCAAACGGG